UGGGGAAUCUUGCGCAAUGGGCGAAAGCCUGACGCAGCGACGCCGCGUGCGGGAUGACGGCCUUCGGGUUGUAAACCGCUUUCAGCAGGGACGAGGCCGCAAGGUGACGGUACCUGCAGAAGAAGCCCCGGCUAACUACGUGCCAGCAGCCGCGGUAAUACGUAGGGGGCGAGCGUUAUCCGGAUUCAUUGGGCGUAAAGCGCGCGUAGGCGGCCAGUUAGGUCGGGAGUCAAAUUUCGGGGCUCAACCCCGUCUCGCUCCCGAUACCGGCUGGCUUGAGUGUGGUAGGGGAAGGCGGAAUUCCCGGUGUAGCGGUGGAAUGCGCAGAUAUCGGGAAGAACACCGGUGGCGAAGGCGGCCUUCUGGGCCAUCACUGACGCUGAGGCGCGAAAGCUAGGGGAGCAAACAGGAUUAGAUACC
RNAcentral lists this ribosomal RNA (420 nucleotides) under uncultured bacterium. RNAcentral's name for it is "bacterial SSU rRNA". It matches the Rfam family "Bacterial small subunit ribosomal RNA", at positions 355 to 786 of the family's 1533-position model. The record is from RNAcentral.